GUCACUCGUUACAAAAAAUGCACUAUCUUGCUUUCAAUCCAAGUUCACUUUGGUGGCAGUUGAACGAGUUUGCAACCCCACACACAAAAACCAAACCCUUAAAAAUGUCAUCCCCCUCGCCGGUGGCCACGGUGGUCUCCGCCGCCGCGCUGUACGACCGCGCCAAAGCCGUGAAAGAAUUCGACGAAACCAAGGUCGGAGUCAAAGGUUUGAUCGAUUCGGGAAUCAGAACCAUCCCCCCUUUCUUCGUCCACCCGCCCGAAACCCUAGCGGACCUCAAGCGCGGAACCAAACCCGGGUCCGCGCCGGAGAUCCCCACGGUGGACCUCGCCGCCGAGGAGAGCUCCCGCGCCGCCGUGGUGGAGCAGGUCCGGCGGGCGGCGAGCACCGUGGGAUUCUUCCAGGUGGUCAACCACGGCGUCCCG
This 425-nucleotide long non-coding RNA is filed under the name Glycine max (soybean). RNAcentral's name for it is "long non-coding RNA (GMAX_LNC001528)". Lineage: Eukaryota; Viridiplantae; Streptophyta; Magnoliopsida; Fabales; Fabaceae. The record is from RNAcentral.